CAGUCGCCACGGUAAUACGGAGGGAGCUAGCGUUGUUCGGAAUUACUGGGCGUAAAGCGCACGUAGGCGGCUUUGUAAGUUAGAGGUGAAAGCCUGGAGCUCAACUCCAGAAUUGCCUUUAAGACUGCAUCGCUUGAAUCCGAGAGAGGUGAGUGGAAUUCCGAGUGUAGAGGUGAAAUUCGUAGAUAUUCGGAAGAACACCAGUGGCGAAGGCGGCUCACUGGCUCGGUAUUGACGCUGAGGUGCGAAAGCGUGGGGAGCAAACAGGAUUAGAUACCCGUGUAGUCCCUGUCUCUUAUAU
RNAcentral lists this ribosomal RNA (301 nucleotides) under uncultured bacterium. Its description in RNAcentral is "partial 16S ribosomal RNA". It matches the Rfam family "Bacterial small subunit ribosomal RNA", at positions 509 to 809 of the family's 1533-position model. The record is from RNAcentral.